Molecule: small RNA, 616 nt
Filed under: Pan troglodytes (chimpanzee)
Lineage: Eukaryota; Metazoa; Chordata; Mammalia; Primates; Hominidae
Description: processed transcript
Source: RNAcentral
AUGAUCUUGGCAAACGUCUUCUGCCUCUUCUUCUUUCUAGACGAGACCCUCCGCUCUUUGGCCAGCCCUUCCUCCCUGCAGGGCCCCGAGCUCCACGGCUGGCGCCCCCCAGUGGACUGUGUCCGGGCCAAUGAGCUGUGUGCCGCCGAAUCCAACUGCAGCUCUCGCUACCGCACUCUGCGGCAGUGCCUGGCAGGCCGCGACCGCAACACCAUGCUGGCCAACAAGGAGUGCCAGGCGGCCUUGGAGGUCUUGCAGGAGAGCCCGCUGUACGACUGCCGCUGCAAGCGGGGCAUGAAGAAGGAGCUGCAGUGUCUGCAGAUCUACUGGAGCAUCCACCUGGGGCUGACCGAGGAGAUGGGGUCUCGUUAUGUUGCACAGGCCUAUCUCAAACUCCUGGGCUCAAGCAGUACUCCCACCUUGGUUUCCCAAAGUUCUGGGCUUACAGGCGGUGCCUUCUCCCUAGCAACCUGGAUUCCUAGAACUAGCAUGAGCAAAGGGAGGAAUACUGUCCUGAGGGUACUGCACUCUAUUCUUCAGGAGAUAAGGCGCUGUCUUCACCCAGAGCCGGACUCUGUAGCGUACAAAUAAUUAAAGCGCUCGAUGCCUGAGCCGA